GUGUGGAUAGCUCAGUUGGCUAGAGUAUAGGACUGAAAAUCCUCUUGUCGGUGGUUCAAGUCCACCUUCACACA
RNAcentral lists this transfer RNA (74 nucleotides) under Scherffelia dubia. Its description in RNAcentral is "tRNA-Phe". It matches the Rfam family "tRNA". Rfam says of the family: Transfer RNA (tRNA) molecules are approximately 80 nucleotides in length. Their secondary structure includes four short double-helical elements and three loops (D, anti-codon, and T loops). The record is from RNAcentral. Lineage: Eukaryota; Viridiplantae; Chlorophyta; Chlorodendrophyceae; Chlorodendrales; Chlorodendraceae.